RNAcentral lists this unclassified non-coding RNA (341 nucleotides) under soil metagenome. RNAcentral's name for it is "partial contains 5.8S ribosomal RNA, internal transcribed spacer 2, and large subunit ribosomal RNA". The stretch from base 1 to 120 matches the Rfam family "5.8S ribosomal RNA", at positions 35 to 154 of the family's 154-position model. The record is from RNAcentral.
GAUGAAGAACGCAGUGAAAUGCGAUAAGUAGUGUGAAUUGCAGAAUUCAGUGAAUCAUCGAAUCUUUGAACGCACAUUGCGCCCUUUGGUAUUCCAAAGGGCAUGCCUGUUCGAGCGUCAUUUGUACCCUCAAGCUUUGCUUGGUGUUGGGCGUCUUGUCUCUAGCUUUGCUGGAGACUCGCCUUAAAGUAAUUGGCAGCCGGCCUACUGGUUUCGGAGCGCAGCACAAGUCGCACUCUCUAUCAGCAAAGGUCUAGCAUCCAUUAAGCCUUUUUUUCCACUUUUGACCUCGGAUCAGGUAGGGAUACCCGCUGAACUUAAGCAUAUCAAUAAGCGGAGGA